AUUGAACGCUGGCGGCGUGCCUAACACAUGCAAGUCGAGCGGCAGCGCGGGAGCAAUCCUGGCGGCGAGCGGCGGACGGGUGAGUAACGCUUGGGAAUCUGCCUAUUAGUGGGGGACAACCCGGGGAAACUCGGGCUAAUACCGCAUACGCACUACGGUGGAAAGCCGGGGACCGCAAGGCCUGGCGCUAACAGAUGAGCCCAAGUCGGAUUAGCUAGUUGGUAGGGUAACGGCCUACCAAGGCGACGAUCCGUAACUGGUCUGAGAGGACGACCAGUCACACCGGAACUGAGACACGGUCCGGACUCCUACGGGAGGCAGCAGUGGGGAAUAUUGGACAAUGGGGGAAACCCUGAUCCAGCGACGCCGCGUGGGUGAAGAAGGCCUGCGGGUUGUAAAGCCCUUUCAGUGGGGGAAGAAAAGCCUCGACCUAAUACGUCGGGGUCUUGACGUAACCCAUAGAAGAAGCACCGGCUAACUCUGUGCCAGCAGCCGCCGU
This 499-nucleotide ribosomal RNA is filed under the name uncultured bacterium. RNAcentral describes it as "bacterial SSU rRNA". It matches the Rfam family "Bacterial small subunit ribosomal RNA", at positions 29 to 521 of the family's 1533-position model. The record is from RNAcentral.